This is a non-coding RNA of Phrynosoma platyrhinos (Desert horned lizard), 74 nucleotides long. NCBI's taxonomy places the organism in Eukaryota, Metazoa, Chordata, Lepidosauria, Squamata, Phrynosomatidae. The record is from the annotation of a GenBank genome assembly.
GGCUGCAUUUAGCAUAGUGGUUUGGGUGUUGGACUAUGACUCUGGAGACCAGGGUUUGAAUCCCAUCUCAGCCA